RNAcentral lists this ribosomal RNA (1197 nucleotides) under Bacillus amyloliquefaciens. RNAcentral describes it as "partial 23S ribosomal RNA". It matches the Rfam family "Bacterial large subunit ribosomal RNA", at positions 565 to 1763 of the family's 2925-position model. Lineage: Bacteria; Bacillati; Bacillota; Bacilli; Caryophanales; Bacillaceae. The record is from RNAcentral.
UACAAGUAGUCAGAGCCCGUUAACGGGUGAUGGCGUGCCUUUUGUAGAAUGAACCGGCGAGUUACGAUCCCGUGCAAGGUUAAGCAGAAGAUGCGGAGCCGCAGCGAAAGCGAGUCUGAAUAGGGCGAAUUGAGUACGUGGUCGUAGACCCGAAACCAGGUGAUCUACCCAUGUCCAGGGUGAAGUUCAGGUAACACUGAAUGGAGGCCCGAACCCACGCACGUUGAAAAGUGCGGGGAUGAGGUGUGGGUAGGGGUGAAAUGCCAAUCGAACCUGGAGAUAGCUGGUUCUCUCCGAAAUAGCUUUAGGGCUAGCCUCAAGGUAAGAGUCUCGGAGGUAGAGCACUGAUUGGACUAGGGGCCCCUACCGGGUUACCGAAUUCAGUCAAACUCCGAAUGCCGAUGACUUAUCCUUGGGAGUCAGACUGCGAGUGAUAAGAUCCGUAGUCGAAAGGGAAACAGCCCAGACCGCCAGCUAAGGUCCCAAAGUAUACGUUAAGUGGAAAAGGAUGUGGAGUUGCUUAGACAACCAGGAUGUUGGCUUAGAAGCAGCCACCAUUUAAAGAGUGCGUAAUAGCUCACUGGUCGAGUGACUCUGCGCCGAAAAUGUACCGGGGCUAAACGUAUCACCGAAGCUGCGGACUGUUCUUCGAACAGUGGUAGGAGAGCGUUCUAAGGGCUGUGAAGCAAGACCGGAAGGACUUGUGGAGCGCUUAGAAGUGAGAAUGCCGGUAUGAGUAGCGAAAGAGGGGUGAGAAUCCCCUCCACCGAAUGCCUAAGGUUUCCUGAGGAAGGCUCGUCCGCUCAGGGUUAGUCGGGACCUAAGCCGAGGCCGAAAGGCGUAGGCGAUGGAUAACAGGUUGAUAUUCCUGUACCACCUCCUCACCAUUUGAGCAAUGGGGGGACGCAGGAGGAUAGGGUAAGCGCGGUAUUGGAUAUCCGCGUCCAAGCAGUUAGGCUGGGAAAUAGGCAAAUCCGUUUCCCGUGAAGGCUGAGCUGUGAUGGCGAGCGAAUUAUAGUAGCGAAGUUCCUGAUUCCACACUGCCAAGAAAAGCCUCUAGCGAGGUGAGAGGUGCCCGUACCGCAAACCGACACAGGUAGGCGAGGAGAGAAUCCUAAGGUGAUCGAGAGAACUCUCGUUAAGGAACUCGGCAAAAUGACCCCGUAACUUCGGGAGAAGGGGUGCUCUGUUAGGGUG